CCGAACCUAUUAAAGUCUGUGAGUAUGAGAGUCUGAGUCUUUCACAGUCCAAGUCUAUAACAGUCUGAGUCUAUAAGACAAGAUAAGAUAAGCUAUUCCUUUAAGAGUAGCCUGAGUCUAAAGCAAUAUCUAAUAACAGUCUGGAUUACAGCAGCCUGAGUCUAAAACAGUCUUAGUCUAUAACAGUCUGAGUCUAUAACACGUUAACUCUAAAGGAGUCUGAGUCCAUAGUAGUCUGAGUCUAUAACAGUCUGAGGUUACAACGGUCUCGGUCUAUAACAGUCUGAGUUUACAACAGUCUAAGUCUGUAACAGUCUGAGGUUACAACGGUCUAAGUCUGUAACUGUCUGAGUCUAUAACAGUCUGAGUUUACAACGGUCUCAGUCUAUAACAGUCUGAGUUUACAACAGUCUGAGUUUACAACAGUCUGAGUCCAUAACAGUCUGAGUCCAUAACAGUCUGAGUUUACAACAGUCUUAGUCCAUAACAGUCUGAGUUUACAACAGUCUUAGUCUAUAACAGUCUGAGUCUAUAACAGUCUGAGUUUACAACAGUCUGAGUUUACAACGGUCUCAGUCUAUAACAGUCUGAGUUUAUAACAGUCUGAGUCUAUAAGUGUCUGAGUUUACAACAGUCUGAGUUUACAACAGUCUGA
Molecule: long non-coding RNA, 655 nt
Filed under: Xyrichtys novacula (pearly razorfish)
Lineage: Eukaryota; Metazoa; Chordata; Actinopteri; Labriformes; Labridae
Source: RNAcentral